This 555-nucleotide ribosomal RNA is filed under the name uncultured bacterium. Its description in RNAcentral is "partial 16S ribosomal RNA". It matches the Rfam family "Bacterial small subunit ribosomal RNA", at positions 355 to 900 of the family's 1533-position model. The record is from RNAcentral.
UAGGGAAUCUUCCACAAUGGACGCAAGUCUGAUGGAGCAACGGCCGCGUGAGUGAAGAAGGUUUUCGGAUCGUAAAGCUCUGUUGUUGGUGAAGAAGGAUAGAGGCAGUAACCGGUCUUUAUUUGACGGUGAUCAACCAGAAAGUCACGGCUAACUACGUGCCAGCAGCCGCGGUAAUACGUAGGUGGCAAGCGUUGUCCGGAUUUAUUGGGCGUAAAGCGAGCGCAGGCGGAAUGAUAAGUCUGAUGUGAAAGCCCACGGCUCAACCGUGGAACUGCAUCGGAAACUGUCAUUCUUGAGUGCAGAAGAGGAGAGUGGAACUCCAUGUGUAGCGGUGGAAUGCGUAGAUAUAUGGAAGAACACCAGUGGCGAAGGCGGCUCUCUGGUCUGCAACUGACGCUGAGGCUCGAAAGCAUGGGUAGCGAACAGGAUUAGAUACCCUGGUAGUCCAUGCCGUAAACGAUGAGCGCUAGGUGUUGGGGACUUUCCGGUCCUCAGUGCCGCAGCAAACGCAUUAAGCGCUCCGCCUGGGGAGUACGACCGCAAGGUUGAAAC